This 253-nucleotide ribosomal RNA is filed under the name uncultured bacterium. RNAcentral describes it as "partial 16S ribosomal RNA". It matches the Rfam family "Bacterial small subunit ribosomal RNA", at positions 524 to 776 of the family's 1533-position model. The record is from RNAcentral.
UACAGAGGUGCCAAGCGUUAGGCGGAAUCACUGGGCUUAAAGCGUGUGUAGGCGGAUGUCUAAGUCCCUUGUGAAAUCCCACGGCUCAACCGUGGAACUGCUUGGUAUACUGGAUGUCUUGAGCCAUCUAGGGGCUACCGGAACAAAUGGUGGAGCGGUGAAAUGCGUAGAUAUCAGGAGGAACACCUGUGGCGAAAGCGGCUCACUGGACCACAACUGACGAUCAGGCACGAAAGCGUGGGGAGCAAACAGG